RNAcentral lists this ribosomal RNA (253 nucleotides) under uncultured bacterium. Its description in RNAcentral is "partial 16S ribosomal RNA". It matches the Rfam family "Bacterial small subunit ribosomal RNA", at positions 524 to 776 of the family's 1533-position model. The record is from RNAcentral.
UACGUAGGGUGCGAGCGUUAAUCGGAAUUACUGGGCGUAAAGCGUGCGCAGGCGGUUUUGUAAGCCAGAUGUGAAAUCCCCGGGCUUAACCUGGGAAUGGCAUUUGGGACUGCAAGGCUGGAGUGCGGCAGAGGAGACUGGAAUUCCUGGUGUAGCAGUGAAAUGCGUAGAUAUCAGGAGGAACACCGAUGGCGAAGGCAGGUCUCUGGGCUGACACUGACGCUCAUGCACGAAAGCAUGGGGAGCAAACAGG